This 246-nucleotide ribosomal RNA is filed under the name uncultured bacterium. Its description in RNAcentral is "partial small subunit ribosomal RNA". It matches the Rfam family "Bacterial small subunit ribosomal RNA", at positions 26 to 285 of the family's 1533-position model. The record is from RNAcentral.
AGAAUCAACGCUGGCGGCGUGCCUAACACAUGCAAGUCGCACGAGAAAGGGGAGCAAUCCCUGAGUAAAGUGGCGCACGGGUGAGUAACACGUGAAUAAUCUACCUCCGAGUGGGGAAUAACUGAGAGAAAUCUUAGCUAAUACCGCAUAACACUUACGAGUCAAAGCAGCAAUGCGCUUGGAGAGGAGUUCGCGGCCGACUAGUUAGUUGGCGGGGUAAUCGGCCCACCAAGACGAUGAUCGGUA